This 30-nucleotide non-coding RNA is filed under the name Rattus norvegicus (Norway rat). The record is from RNAcentral. Lineage: Eukaryota; Metazoa; Chordata; Mammalia; Rodentia; Muridae.
UCCAGAGCAUGAGGAGCAUUUGUGAUGAGU